GGAAUAUUGCACAAUGGGGGGAACCCUGAUGCAGCGACGCCGCGUGAAGGAAGAAGUAUUUCGGUAUGUAAACUUCUAUCAGCAGGGAAGAAAAUGACGGUACCUGACUAAGAAGCCCCGGCUAACUACGUGCCAGCAGCCGCGGUAAUACGUAGGGGGCAAGCGUUAUCCGGAUUUACUGGGUGUAAAGGGAGCGUAGGCGGCGAUGCAAGUCAGAAGUGAAAGCCCGGGGCUCAACUCCGGGACUGCUUUUGAAACUGUAUGGCUAGAUUGCAGGAGAGGCAAGUGGAAUUCCUAGUGUAGCGGUGAAAUGCGUAGAUAUUAGGAGGAACACCAGUGGCGAAGGCGGCUUGCUGGACUGUAAAUGACGCUGAGGCUCGGAAGCGUGGGGAGCAAACA
Molecule: ribosomal RNA, 399 nt
Filed under: uncultured bacterium
Lineage: Bacteria
Description: bacterial SSU rRNA
Rfam family: Bacterial small subunit ribosomal RNA
Source: RNAcentral